Molecule: RNA transcript, 2211 nt
Organism: Pyrus x bretschneideri (Chinese white pear)
Lineage: Eukaryota; Viridiplantae; Streptophyta; Magnoliopsida; Rosales; Rosaceae
Gene name: polyadenylate-binding protein-interacting protein 4
Exons: 13
Source: RefSeq, a predicted model, not a curated record
AUGUUAUUUCCUUCACUAUUUCCAUACUUUCACACCAUUACCGCUGCUACCUCUAUAAACGCCAUCGCAGCCUUCUACAGCCCGGAAAAAAAAAAUGGGUUGCAGAAACAGAGACUUCACAGACGACGAGACUGUCUCUUCGUCCUCUCUUCUUCGCUGAGCGAGGCCUUGCUCUUUGCCACCAUGUGCAUCAUUGGCCUCCCAGUUGAUGUCCACGUCAAGGACGGUUCUGUGUAUUCUGGAAUCUUCUACACUGCCUCUGUGGAGACUGAGUACGGUAUUGUUUUGAAGAAAGCAAGGAUGACCAAAAAGGGGAAGAGUGAUGCUAAUGUAGGAAAUGGGGCACUGAUCGAGACUCUUGUGAUUCGCUCCAGUGACCUUGUCCAAGUUGUUGCUAUGGGAGUUUUGCUUCCAGCUGAUGGUGUUACUGGAAAUAUAGCUGGCGACGAAACUGAAGCUGUUAUGGAUACUGUUUCUUCUGAUGUGUGCUCAAAGAAUGAUGUAAAGAAGCCAAUUGAUUCUGCCACAAAUAAGAAGAAAAUGGACGGUUUUAGGGGCCCAAUGCAAAAUGGAAAUGGCCUUGCUCAUGGUGUUGCCCCAAAGAGAGCUGUAAAGGAGCAUGAAGGGAGGAAAUUUCCUCUGAAACAUGCGAUAAAUGCCCUGGAAGUUAAAAAUGGAAAAAUUGACAGGAUAAACUUAUCAGAGAUUAAAGAAGCCCCUAGCGCCCAGUUAAUGGGAGGUAUGGGUUCUAUUCUUAUUUCUGUUAAUAUUAUUUCAUACUUGGGGAGUGACACUUUGGGUGCUAAAGCUCUCUGCCUUGACACUGGCUCCGGUCAAUUUUUUGGCAGACAGGUUGAAAAUGAUGGGUCCUCAGGGAAACAGGAUGAUUUCAAACAGAAACUAGAGUUUUAUAGGGAAGAAAGUGCUGAUAAAGUUCAUGAUACAAAGAUCCCAUCCAAGUUAUUACCUCACGAAGUAUCUCAUGAUCCUGCUACUGUAAUUGUUAAUACAGAAAAUCAAUGUUGUGAAAGGACAACUUCAGCAGACAUUUCAUCUGGUGUUGUUUCUUCAAGUGUCUCAACUUCGUUGAAUCCGCCCGUGGAUGUUUCAUAUCACCAACUGGUGGCAACAUCAACUGAAAUGGCCCCUCCUCAGGGUUCAGAAUUUACUAGAAGUACCAAGGAAUUUAAGCUCAACCCAGGAGCAAAAACAUUCUCACCAUCGUUUACGAAGGCCACGACAUCAACCCCUCCCCCAUUGCCAACAGUGGGAAGCAUGGGUUAUGUACCAAACAACUCCCCCAUGGUACCUGUUGCUGCUGCUCAGCCAGGAGUUGGAUCAAAUCCUUUUGCAUCUCGUACCUCUCUACCUGUUAAGGUGGUCCCCAUUAAUAAUUUCACAAAUGGAAAUGGUGGCAGUGGCUCUCAAUUUUCACAACCUAUUGUUGGACACGUGGGGAGCAGGGCACAGACGCUUAGGUACGCUGGUCAGUAUCCUGUUCAGGCUGCACCUCCCUAUGUUCAUCCCAAUUCUCAAGCUGUUAUGGUUGGACGAUUCGGGCAGCUUGUAUACGUGCAUCCAGUUUCUCAAGAUUUGGUGCAGGGUGCAACGGCUAUCUCACCGCUGUCUGCUCGUCCUAUGUUGACUCCACAUCAGGUCCAGUUUCCCAAGCACCAAGGGACUGCACCAAACCAAGCUUUUCAGCUCUGUGUUCCUCCACCGUUCAUGGCUACAGGACAGCAGCCUUUCCCCAAUGCCAAGUCGCAUCCCAUUUUUGCGACCUCCCUUCCCUUCUAAUCGUCUCAUUGAAGUCCCAGGAUCUAAUGAUCUCGUUUGCCCCAACCCCAUAUUUUGGUGAAAAUGUUUCUUCGAUUGAUCACCUCCGCCAGGGUCCUUUUUCCCAUAUUUAUAUUAUAGAUUUUGAAAAUUUUGGCCUUAAAUUCUUUCAACCUGCAUUCAUUCAUUGUGUUAUUUUCUAUACCUUAAAGUUGAGAGAACUUUUGCAAAAGGGUUUGCUAAAGGGAGUGAAGCUUACAUUGUUUUUUUUUUUUUCGAAAUGUAGUGAACUUUUCUUGCACGAAAAGGGAGGGGGGUUCGUGGUUUUUGCUUCCAUUUGAACAAUGUUGGACAAUAGAGUGACUUGUAAAUUAUUCAAACAACGAAUGUUUGUAUUUGUUCGUUUGAUUUUGAAAUUUCACAUCCCUCUGCUGA